RNAcentral lists this ribosomal RNA (229 nucleotides) under uncultured bacterium. RNAcentral's name for it is "partial 16S ribosomal RNA". It matches the Rfam family "Bacterial small subunit ribosomal RNA", at positions 118 to 345 of the family's 1533-position model. The record is from RNAcentral.
UGAGCAAUCUGCCCUUCUCUUUGGAAUAAGCGUUGGAAACGACGUCUAAUGCCGAAUACGACCUCCUUUCGCAUGAUCGGAGGUGGAAAGCUCCGGCGGAGAAGGAUGAGCUCGCGGCCUAUCAGCUAGUUGGUGUGGGUAAUGGCCCACCAAGGCGACGAUCGGUAGCUGGUCUGAGAGGACGAUCAGCCACACGUGGGACUGAGACACGGCCAGACUCCGUAACGGG